This 388-nucleotide non-coding RNA is filed under the name Nicotiana sylvestris (wood tobacco). Its description in RNAcentral is "Bacterial small subunit ribosomal RNA". It matches the Rfam family "Bacterial small subunit ribosomal RNA", at positions 152 to 529 of the family's 1533-position model. The record is from Rfam by way of RNAcentral. Lineage: Eukaryota; Viridiplantae; Streptophyta; Magnoliopsida; Solanales; Solanaceae. RNAcentral also lists the same sequence under 1 other name.
GUAGUGUAAUUUUAACUUGUUAUGUUGUUAAUUUGAUUUAUCAAAUUACUCAUUCCACUUAUUUUGAUAUCACUUAUUUUAACUUAUUUUGAUACGCUAAUGCUUGGUCAGGUAAAGGCUGACCAAGCUAAUGAUGCUUAGCUGAUUUUUCGGAUGAUCAGCCCCAUUGGGACCGAGACAAGGCUCGGACUUCCAUGGGGCAGCAAUGGGGAAUCUUGGACAAUAGGCGAAAGCCCGAUCUAGCAAUAUCGUGUGAGUGAAGAAGGGCAAUGCCGCUUAGAAAGCUCUUUCGUCGAGUGCGCGAUCAUGACAGGACUCGAGGAUGAAGCCCCCGGUAACUCCGUGCCGGCUAAAAAGUUUAUUCAAUAUAUGGAUUCGUUAAGGCGAC